GAUGAACGCUAGCGGCAGGCUUAACACAUGCAAGUCGAGGGGCAGCGCGAUGUAGCAAUACAUUGGCGGCGACCGGCGCACGGGUGCGUAACACGUAUGGAACUUACCCUUUACUGGGAGAUAGCCCGGAGAAAUCCGGAUUAAUAUCCCAUAAUAAACGAAGUGGCAUCACUUUGUUUUGAAAGCUCCGGCGGUAAAGGAUGGCCAUGCGCACGAUUAGCUAGUAGGUGAAGUAACGGCUCACCUAGGCUACGAUCGUUAGGGGGCCUGAGAGGGUUAUCCCCCACACUGGUACUGAGACACGGACCAGACUCCUACGGGAGGCAGCAGUGAGGAAUAUUGCGCAAUGGAGGCAACUCUGACGCAGCCAUGCCGCGUGCAGGAAGAAGGCGCUACGCGUUGUAAACUGCUUUUAACCGGGAAGAAACCCUCCGACGUGUCGGAGGUUGACGGUACCGGAGGAAUAAGCACCGGCUAACUUCGUGCCAGCAGCCGCGG
This 498-nucleotide ribosomal RNA is filed under the name uncultured bacterium. Its description in RNAcentral is "bacterial SSU rRNA". It matches the Rfam family "Bacterial small subunit ribosomal RNA", at positions 28 to 520 of the family's 1533-position model. The record is from RNAcentral.